This is a small nuclear RNA of Octodon degus (degu), 107 nucleotides long. The record is from Ensembl. Lineage: Eukaryota; Metazoa; Chordata; Mammalia; Rodentia; Octodontidae.
GUGCUUGCUUUGGCAGCAUAUACACUAAAAUUGGAACAAUACAAGGAAGAUUAGCAUGGCCCCUGCACAAGGAUUACAUGCAAAUUCAUGAAGUAUUCCAUAUUUUU